This 465-nucleotide ribosomal RNA is filed under the name uncultured delta proteobacterium. Its description in RNAcentral is "bacterial SSU rRNA". It matches the Rfam family "Bacterial small subunit ribosomal RNA", at positions 8 to 475 of the family's 1533-position model. The record is from RNAcentral. Lineage: Bacteria; Deltaproteobacteria.
AGAGUUUGAUCCUGGCUCAGAACGAACGCUGGCGGUAUGCCUAACACAUGCAAGUCGAACGCGAACGGAAUCUUCGGAUUCCAAGUAGAGUGGCGCACGGGUGAGUAACACGUGGAUAACCUGCCCUAGAGUCCGGGAUAACACUUCGAAAGAGGUGCUAAUACCGGAUAAGCUCACGACUUCUCCGGGAGAUGUGAGAAAAGAUUUAUUGCUCUAGGAUGGGUCCGCGGUCCAUUAGCUAGUUGGUGGGGUAAUGGCCUACCAAGGCUGCGAUGGAUAGCUGGUCUGAGAGGAUGAUCAGCCACACUGGAACUGAGACACGGUCCAGACUCCUACGGGAGGCAGCAGUGGGGAAUUUUGCGCAAUGGGGGAAACCCUGACGCAGCAAUACCGCGUGAAGGAUGAAGGCCCUUGGGUCGUAAACUUCUGUCAGAGGGGAAGAAAUACUCGCAAGAGUGCUGACGG